Molecule: unclassified non-coding RNA, 107 nt
Filed under: uncultured Tremellales
Lineage: Eukaryota; Fungi; Basidiomycota; Tremellomycetes; Tremellales
Description: sequence contains ITS1
Source: RNAcentral
GUGAACGCCCUUCAUGGGCUUAAACUAUUCCAAACCUCUGUGAACCGUGCCCUUCGGGGCUAAUUUUACAAACAUGGUGUAAUGAACGUCAUAACUUUAACAAAACA